AAGGAAUGCCAGAUGGAAUCAACAGAGUGGAAAGACCAAGAGGUAGAUUCUGUGUGGAAUACUCAUGGCAAGAUAUGCACUGCAUGAGAAGAUUAUGCUCUCUAUGUUCUCUGGUCAGGACAACACAGAGUUUCGGGGUACAUGAAAUGUCUUUCAUAUUCAGUUCCAGCAUUUGUUCUGAAUGGACUCCUUGUCUCUCAAUUGCAUCCAUUUUGAAAUCAAGAUUAAUUACCUGCUCAGGAUUUCCCUUCUCAAGAAAGGAGCCCUUGGUUGUGGGGCAAGUUGGGCAAAACUGUCACCAGCUCAGAGGUAAGAGAGAGUGUCUUAUAGCAAACACGCUGACAAGAAGAACACAGUUUCUUUUAUUGAUUUAUUUAUUUAUUUUUUAAGAAAUGACUUACACAGGGUCACACAGCUAGCAAGUGUCUGAGGCCAGAUUUGAACUCAGGUUGUCCUGAUUCUAGGGCAGGUUGCUCUACUCACUGGGUCACCUAACUGCCACAAGGACAUGAUUUCCAGUUGUGGUACCUGUCAGUGGCUUGGGGGCACCUUGGCCUUUGGAAAGUCAACUGGGCUUUAGUAAGCUUCUUUACUGCGUGCACCUAGGACCUCGUCCUUUUGGUGACCUUGAUUCAAGCAGGUGACAUAGCAGUCUACUAAAUCUACAAGACUCUCCCAUAAUCAUUCAGUCAGUUAAUAAGAAAUUAUUUCUGUGUCCAAGGUACUAUGGUAAGGUCUGGGGAUAGAAGGGCAAAAAACACAAUCC
This 766-nucleotide long non-coding RNA is filed under the name Vombatus ursinus (common wombat). Its description in RNAcentral is "lncRNA (ENSVURG00010000623.1)". Lineage: Eukaryota; Metazoa; Chordata; Mammalia; Diprotodontia; Vombatidae. The record is from RNAcentral.